CAAUAGCGUAUAUUAAAGUUGUUGCAGUUAAAAAGCUCGUAGUUGAAUUUCUGGCGGGCGCGCCGGUCUUCCAAGUGUUGUACUGGGCGCAGUCCGCCAUCCUUGUGGAGAGGGCUCGCAUUGAGUUGCGUGUCGGAUCUGCAUCAUUUACUGUGAAAAAAUUAGAGUGUUUAAAGCAGGCUGUCGCUUGAAUACAUUAGCAUGGAAUAAUAAGAUAGGACUUCGGUCUAUUUUGUUGGUUGCGAACCGAGGUAAUGAUUAAUAGGGCUAGUUGGGGGUAUUCAUAUUUAAUUGUCAGAGGUGAAAUUCUUGGAUUUAUGAAAGAUGAACAACUGCGAAAGCAUUUACCAAGGAUGUUUUCAUUAA
Molecule: ribosomal RNA, 366 nt
Filed under: uncultured eukaryote
Lineage: Eukaryota
Description: partial 18S ribosomal RNA
Rfam family: Eukaryotic small subunit ribosomal RNA
Source: RNAcentral